Long non-coding RNA from Leptopilina heterotoma, 1402 nucleotides. RefSeq lists it as uncharacterized. The record is from RefSeq and is a predicted model, not a curated record. The transcript is spliced from 6 exons. NCBI's taxonomy places the organism in Eukaryota, Metazoa, Arthropoda, Insecta, Hymenoptera, Figitidae.
ACGUGCAAAUGUUGAUAGAAAUCAAUCUAAAUAAUUCAGUUGUUGCCAUAUAAUUGCUGCAAUUAUAUGUGUAGCAUGAAGAGAACGCAAGCGUAUAAUUUGCAAAAUAUAUUCUAAAGAUAGUAAGUGAGCUUUCAUAAUUAUUUACUACAUUGUCACUGUUAUACUCGAACAAAAAAGAAAAGCAAUGGAGAGAUUAUUGAAACUUGUAAAGUGGGUUCCGAAUAACAUUCGUGAAAGUAUUUAUCCUCUGAUUUUCAUAAACUGGCUGUCAAUCUUUGGCUUCAGUGGAUACCCCUUAGGCGGUACGAAAUAUAAUAAAUUCCGUUCCAUUCCGGUGAUAAUAUUUUUAGGUAUUCUUUGUUUGAUGAUUUGUGACGUUUUUCACGGAUUACAGUCUGAUGAUCUCUCGAUAAGCUCAUUUGCAUAUGUUUUCGAAGGAGUAUCUGUCAUUGACACAAUAGUAAUAUUUGCUGCUCACAUAAACGGUUGGUUUAAUUUUAAGAAGUUGAACGAUCUUUAUAAAAGUAUGAUGGAACUGAAUGAUGCGACUAGAAAUUUUGGCUCCAAGGAAAAUUAUAGUACAACUUUUAAAAGUCUGCUAGGAUGGAUAUUUGCCUUUUUAUGUUUAGGCUUCAUGACAGAAAUUUGUAUAUAUAAACAAUGGUAAUUGUUUGGAAUACAUUUUUCGGUGUUCUACUUUCCAACAGUUAUAGAUUUGAAUAUACACUCAAAUAUCAAAUUCAUUGCUAUUAAAAUCAAAUUCUUAAACAACUUGCUGAUAGAAAAGUUUGAGAAAAAUUCAAAUGGAUCAAUCUUACAUGAUCAGUUAGCAUCGCAAUGUCGGCAUAUUAUUAUGGAAUGUUUUAUUUAUUAUACUCUCUAAAUCUGAAUAUGUGUCACUUAUUCUGAGUGAAAUUUCACUUAUUAUAAGUGUAUAUGCACUUAUUGAUCGAGAAGACGAGUACAAAUAAUAUGUGAAUUUUCACAUAUUCAGAUUUAGAGAGUAUGCAUGUUUACUAAAAUUUAUUAAAAGCGCUUUAAGAUUUUUUCUCAUUGUCGCGCCAUGUUGUCAAAUCGAGAAGCAGAUGGAUGACUUACGCCAACGAUUAACACAAUUGCCAAUAAUUUUUUCAAUUUUUGGAUUUCAAAAAUUGGGAAUGGCAUUUAUAGAGAAGUUUGCAGUAACUUGCACUACAAUUUUUGGUUGCAUACAAUAUACUUAAAAAAGUGUAAAUGGAUUUUGAACUUAACGAUACUCUAUUUUGGUUGACUAGAAUAUAUGAUGGACAAAAAUAAUAGUGGUCGAGCAGGUGGAAGCAAAUUUUAAUUUUCACCAGGUGAAAAAUGAUAGGCAGAAAUGAUAAGAAAUUUUCUGUUUUCGUUUAUUCUUUUCUCAAAU